GACGAACGCUGGCGGCGUGCCUAAUACAUGCAAGUAGAACGCACAGUUUAUACCGUAGCUUGCUACACCAUAGACUGUGAGUUGCGAACGGGUGAGUAACGCGUAGGUAACCUGCCUGGUAGCGGGGGAUAACUAUUGGAAACGAUAGCUAAUACAGCAUAAUAUUAAUUAUUGCAUGAUAAUUAAUUGAAAGGUGCAAUUGCACCACAACCAGAUGGACCUGCGUUGUAUUAGCUAGUAGGGGAGGUAACGGCUCACCUAGGCGACGACACAUAGCCGACCUGAGAGGGUGCUCUGCCACGCUGGGCCUGGGACACGGCCCAGACUCCUACGGGAGGCAGCCGUAGGGAAUCUUCGGCAAUGGACGAAAGUCUGACCGAGCAACGCCGCGGGAGUGAAGAAGGUUUUCGGAUCGUAAAGCUCUGUUGUUAGAGAAGAACGGGUGUGAGAGUGGAAAGUUCACACUGUGACGGUAUCUUACCAGAAAGGGACGGCCAACUACGUG
This 505-nucleotide ribosomal RNA is filed under the name uncultured bacterium. RNAcentral's name for it is "partial 16S ribosomal RNA". It matches the Rfam family "Bacterial small subunit ribosomal RNA", at positions 28 to 507 of the family's 1533-position model. The record is from RNAcentral.